UCAGUUUGUAAAAUAAGAUGCAUAUUAUUCAGCUUGAUUCAUUGCUCAGGAUUCUUGAAUAAGAUGGGGCGACCAAGAUGUGGCUCGGAGAAAGGGUGCAUAUGGGAUUACUUAUUACCCAUUGGGUCUGCAAAUAUGAGAGUGGCAAGGCAUGGGUAUUUAGCUCGAGUUGUGCAUGGGCUGCUCGAGCUGCGCGCCAAUGUGGAGGCCCCGCACCGCCGCCGAUGGGCUGAUGUUGUUAUACGUCGUGGCGGGGACGUCCGUGUGUGCGCUGCUUGUGCUGGGCGCUGAUGUGGUCGCCCCCGAUCGGAAGGGACGCCGCUGGAGCUGCCGCGGGAUAUGGUGGUGGUCCGCUGAUGGAGCUGGGAGCAGAUGCGGAGGCAAUGGGCCCGACUCUCUGUGUGCAAAUCAUGAUGACUUGGAGCACUGUAAUGGGAAGUUUUUAUUCAUCUUUACCUAUAUUUAUUGGAUUAGGUUCCAUUGGCAGGCCAGGGCGGAGGACGUUGUCAAUGGAAAACAUGGCUCCGCAUGAAGGUUCACUCGCCAAUAGUCUUCAAGAAGAUGCGAAGGUCAUGGUUCUGUGUUGAUGCCCCUUGAAAAAAAUAUCUUCUCAUUUUCUUGUUUGAAGGAACGCUAGGAGAAAUUGAGGAUGCGAAAAAUGUACGGAGGAAAGGGAGACUAGGAGAGGUGCACGGUGAGGCAUCGACGAAUCCUAAAAAGAGAAACUUUUGUCACGGUGUUCUCAUAUCCAAACUUGAAUCAAGUAUGCUUUUUGAAUGGCUUGCACUAAAGCAGAGUAUAAUUCUUAUACUUGUGUUUUAAAUUGACUA
Molecule: non-coding RNA, 830 nt
Organism: Triticum urartu
Lineage: Eukaryota; Viridiplantae; Streptophyta; Magnoliopsida; Poales; Poaceae
Source: RefSeq, a predicted model, not a curated record